GAAUAUUGGACAAUGGGCGAAAGCCUGAUCCAGCCAUGCCGCGUGUGUGAAGAAGGCCUUCGGGUUGUAAAGCACUUUUGUACGGGAAGAAACCUUCCGGGCUAAUACCCCGGGAGAAUGACGGUACCGUAAGAAUAAGCACCGGCUAACUUCGUGCCAGCAGCCGAGGUAAUACGAAGGGUGCAAGCGUUACUCGGAAUUACUGGGCGUAAAGCGUGCGUAGGUGGUUCGUUAAGUCUGCCGUGAAAGCCCCGGGCUCAACCUGGGAAUUGCGGUGGAUACUGGCGGACUAGAGUGCGGUAGAGGGUGGUGGAAUUCCCGGUGUAGCAGUGAAAUGCGUAGAGAUCGGGAGGAACAUCUGUGGCGAAGGCGGCCACCUGGACCAGCACUGACACUGAGGCACGAAAGCGUGGGGAGCAAACAG
RNAcentral lists this ribosomal RNA (424 nucleotides) under uncultured bacterium. RNAcentral's name for it is "partial 16S ribosomal RNA". It matches the Rfam family "Bacterial small subunit ribosomal RNA", at positions 359 to 775 of the family's 1533-position model. The record is from RNAcentral.